GGUUUAAUACUUAAAAGUCCAAAGGCAAAUCUCGUGCAUUUUUCAUAUAAACACUGAUAAAGUCCAAAGGCAAAUCUCGUGCAUUUUUCAUAUAAACACUGAUAACUUCAAUGUUUAAUAUUUUAUUACGUGUGUAUUUGAGCAAGAGUCGAAAUUCGAAUUUUACGGAUGCAAAACAACAGACUCUUCUGGUCGACGUGGAAAUAGAGUAAAACUAAGCUUUUUUGGUAAAUUGUCAAAUGUUGCAACCAAAGGUGCUGAAAAGGGGGAUUUGGAUGUAAUAUGCAUCAGCAUCAUGUAAAGAGAUACCAUUUGAUUUUUUUUUUAGAGGGGGAGGUGGUGCUAAGAUGUUAUUUCAGAAAAUCAGGACAGGAGUUUGGAAUAAAAAAAAACCAGGAUGAGCAAAUUUGCAAAAAAAGGGGAUAUCAAUUCUUGUUAAAAAAGUCAGAAUAAACUAAUAAAAAAGGUAGGAUGAAAAGGGUGAAAAAUAAAAAGGAAGGACAGAGAUUACAAAAAAAUCAUAUAUAUUUUUGCCAUAUUUUUGAUCCCCCCCGUUUUCCCCCGCCAUAAGAAUUAAAUGAAACCAAAACCGGCCGUAUUUGUUUAUAAAAUAACCAUCCUAAAUAUAUCCUAAAGUUAGGACCAUCCUAAGACCAUCUUAAGACACCUAAAUUGGUAUCCUAAAGUUAGGACAAUUCCUAGGAUUUUCCUAAGUUGCAACAUGUUUGAUAAACCCAUUUAGGACUAAGAUAUGUCCUAAGUUGGUCUUAGGACACGUCCUAAUCCUAAGAGAGCUUCGAUAAACAGGCCCCUG
RNAcentral lists this long non-coding RNA (814 nucleotides) under Mytilus galloprovincialis (Mediterranean mussel). The record is from RNAcentral. Lineage: Eukaryota; Metazoa; Mollusca; Bivalvia; Mytilida; Mytilidae.